AAUAAACUAGUUUUCUAGGUGGUAUAUGGGAUGCUCUAAUCUGAUAUACAUCAUGGUGAACAGGGACUCCAAGAGCCUGAAAAACAAAUUCUUGAAAAUUAAUGGAUGGAAAAUGAAGAAGAAGGUUGAAAAGGGUUUGAACUUAAUACUGGAAGGAUUCCAUUCCAAAAUAAGGAAGCUUAAAUAAGAUGAUAAAAACAGAGGAAAAAAGAGAACUUGAAGUGUUCAUACCUACACAUAGAAAGUUUCACAAGGGCUAGAUAUGAAUCCAAAAACAGAGGAAAAAAGAGAACUUGAAGUGUUCAUACCUACACAUAGAAAGUUUCACAAGGGCUAGAUAUGAAUCCAGAGCAAGGUUCUAAAUGGCGUGAGGCGUGGCGUGGCGGCAAGGCCAAGCCUCAAGCUNCUAUAUACAUGAGUUUCUUUUUGACUUCAACAGAAAAAACAAAAAAAAACAAAAAAAAAAAACAACUGAACUUAAUACAAAAAGUAAAGGAAAUGAGGCUUUCCCCAUUUAAUGGCUAUCUUGGCUUUAAUUCCUUGAUGGGUCAAUAAACCAGUUUUCUAGGUGGUAUAUGGGAUGCUCUAAUCUGAUAUACAUCAUGGUGAACAGGGACUCCAAGAGCCUGAAAAACAAAUUCUUAAAAAUUAAUGGAUGGAAAAUGAAGAAGAAGGUUGAAAAGGGUUUGAACUUAAUACUGGAAGGAUUCCAUUCCAAAAUAAGGAAGCUUCAAUAAGAUGAUAAAAACAGAGGAAAAAAGAGAACUUGAAGUGUUCAUACCUACACAGAGAAAGUUUCACAAGGGCUAGAUAUGAAUCCAGUGAGCUUUGGAACAACGAGUUUCCCCCAAUAAAUCAAGGAAGCUUGAUAUAAUUUCUGAAUCGUUCUGUUUGUGUCUCUUAUGCAACCACUCUUCCUGUAUCCUAAUGUUAACAUCCCUGCAAUACAAAUAAUUUCAAAGCAUUAAAAACCACAGGUAUUGCAGAAGCAGGUGAAUUUUCUUUAUAAGUUUUAAGGCAGUUUUCAUGCCAAAACCAGGCACCAGAUGUUGAAUUCCAGGAACACCAUCUGCUUCAUCACCCAAAAUGCAUCCUAUAAACAAGAUAUUUUUGUAAGAAAUACCCUCUUUAAAAUAGUUUCAUGAACAACAACUCAAUCUUUUCAUGAGUCACAUCAUCAAGAGAAAGUGUAUACUUACUAAGUCUUAAAUUAGAGAGUGGAUCACACUUGUUGAAUGGAUAUAGUACUACAGCAGCCUAGCGAGAUUGUUGAAUGGAUAUAAUACUACAGCAGCCUAGCGAGAUUCCAUUAAUAAUGAAAUGAGCUCAAUAUUCAUAAGGGUGCAUAAACUAUUGCUGAAAUCAACUAAAACAUAUGGAUAAAAUACUACAAUAGCUUAGCAAUCAACUGAAGAUUACAGUGCACUUCUUCUACUUCUCUGCCAGAAAAAAGAGCUAUAUUUGAUAAGAUUGCUUCCAAAAAGUCUUUCAGAUACCUUAAAAUCCAAAGAUUUUGACUUAAAUCACUGAGUUAUCUAAAACGACCAAACUC
RNAcentral lists this long non-coding RNA (1552 nucleotides) under Lactuca sativa (garden lettuce). RNAcentral's name for it is "long non-coding RNA (LSAT_LNC002863)". Lineage: Eukaryota; Viridiplantae; Streptophyta; Magnoliopsida; Asterales; Asteraceae. The record is from RNAcentral.